Molecule: ribosomal RNA, 823 nt
Filed under: Kappamyces sp. PL74
Lineage: Eukaryota; Fungi; Chytridiomycota; Chytridiomycetes; Rhizophydiales; Kappamycetaceae
Description: eukaryotic LSU rRNA
Rfam family: Eukaryotic large subunit ribosomal RNA
Source: RNAcentral
CUCUAAAUUUGAAAUCUCCUUCGGGCGAAUUGUGUUUAAAGAAGCGUUUUCCGGCUUCGACGGUUGGUACGUUCUUUUGGAACAAGACAAUAGAGGGCUGAAAAUCCCGGUCUUUGACCAAUCUUACGGCAUUUGUGAUACGUUUUCCAAGAGUCGGUUUGUUUGGGAAUGCAGACCAAAAAAGGGAGGUAAAUACCUUCUAAAGCUUAAAUAUUGGCGAGAGACCGAUAGCGAACAAGUACCGUGAGGAAAGAUGAAAAGAACUUUGAAAAGAGAGUGAAACAGUAUGUGAAAUUGUCAAAAGGGAAACGUUUGAAAGCAGUAUUGGCCAGGCCAGGAUUUCAGCCUCGGUGUAUUGUCCUGGUGGCGAGUCAACAUCAGUUCGGUUUGGAGCAAAAAGCCGUGUGAAGGUAGCCCUUUGGGUAUUAUAGGCGCAUGGUCGUACUCUAAGAUCGGGACUGAUGGCCAGCAGCGUUUUUGGCUUUUGCACACUCGCGCCUUGGGAUGUUGACCGAAAUGGUUUUAAUCGGCCCGGUCUUGAAACACGGACCAAGGGAGUCUAACAUAGUACAAGUAUUUGGGUGGCAAACCCUUGUGCCUAACUAAACGUGAAAAGAAGGGAUCAUGGAGACCAUCGUCCGCGCCAUAUUCCGAUCUCGGCGUAGUAUGUCAUAGAUGCUGGGACCCGAAAUGAUUGGUGAACUAGUGCCUGAAGUAGGGGUAAGCCAGAAACUUUGGUGGAGGCUCAGCUGGUUCUGACGAGCAACUUUCGCMAAMUGCNGGAGACGGGGGNNARAMGANCANUCCNCNAGCUCCCCGCUCC